RNAcentral lists this long non-coding RNA (485 nucleotides) under Hordeum vulgare. RNAcentral describes it as "long non-coding RNA (HVUL_LNC010478)". Lineage: Eukaryota; Viridiplantae; Streptophyta; Magnoliopsida; Poales; Poaceae. The record is from RNAcentral.
GUUUUACCUUUGACGAGAUAUCUUGUGCAUCGGGAUUCCGGUGAUGCUUUGGGUAAUCUCAGAGUUGAGGUUUUCCACUAGGGAAUCCGACGAGAUCGCGAGCUUCGUGAUUGAGGAUUUCUAUGCGGCUUGUGGUAAUUUGUGAUGGACUAGUUGGAGCACCCCUGCAGGGUUAAAUCUUUUGGAAAGCCGUGCCCGCGGUUAUGUGGCAACGUGGAUACUUUGUUUAACACUGGUUCUAGAUAACUUGAAGUUAACUUAAUUAAAACAUGCCCACUGUGUGCGUAACCGUGACUAUCUCUUUCGUGAGUUCUUUCUCCGAUCGAGGACACGGUGGGGUUAUGUCUGACGUAGGUAGGUGUUCAGGAUCAUUCUCUUGAUCAACCGUAGUUCACGUCCGUUAUGCGUAGUUCAUUCCCCUCUUUAUUCUUGUACUCGUAAGUUUAGCCACCAAAUAUAUGCUUAGCCGCUGCUGCAACCUCACU